This 362-nucleotide unclassified non-coding RNA is filed under the name Hevea brasiliensis (rubber tree). The record is from RNAcentral. Lineage: Eukaryota; Viridiplantae; Streptophyta; Magnoliopsida; Malpighiales; Euphorbiaceae.
CCAACAAAUAGCCGAACAGUGGAAUGUUAUUCCUCGUGCAGUUGAGGAGCUGAUAAAGCUUGUCGAUACUUCCUCUCUUUCGAAAGAAGAUCUUUGUCAACAGGCCAAAGCAUGCAAACAAAUGUACGAGGCAGAACUUACUAAAGUUAGUGAUGAUUCUAAGCUGAAGAAUAAAAGGCUGAAGACUGAUGAAAAUGAGAGGGAUGGCAAUAGGAGAUCCAAUGCCAUCUCCGGUGUUGCAGGAGACUAUGACAGUGAUGAAACAAUUGAAAUGACAGAGGAGGAAAUUGACAUUGCUUACAAUAAUGUUGCCUCUAAUAUUUGCUAACUUUAAAUGAUUCUCAUGUAAUUUUUAUUCACCC